Molecule: ribosomal RNA, 520 nt
Filed under: uncultured Halomonas sp.
Lineage: Bacteria; Pseudomonadati; Pseudomonadota; Gammaproteobacteria; Oceanospirillales; Halomonadaceae
Description: bacterial SSU rRNA
Rfam family: Bacterial small subunit ribosomal RNA
Source: RNAcentral
UAGAGUUUGAUCAUGGCUCAGAUUGAACGCUGGCGGCAUGCCUAACACAUGCAAGUCGCACGCGAAAGGGGGCAACCCUGAGUAGAGUGGCGGACGGGUGAGUAACGCGUAGGAAUCUACCUGGUAGUGGGGGACAACCCGGUGAAAACCGGGCUAAUACCGCAUACGAUCCACGGAUGAAAGCAGGGGACCGCAAGGCCUUGCGCUAUCAGAUGAGCCUGCGUCGGAUUAGCUAGUUGGUGAGGUAACGGCUCACCAAGGCGACGAUCCGUAGCUGGUUUGAGAGAACGACCAGCCACACCGGAACUGAGACACGGUCCGGACUCCUACGGGAGGCAGCAGUGGGGAAUAUUGGACAAUGGGGGCAACCCUGAUCCAGCAAUGCCGCGUGUGUGAAGAAGGCCUUCGGGUUGUAAAGCACUUUCGGUGGGGACAAACAAGGCGGAGCUAACAUCUCCGUCCCUGAUGGUACCCAAAGAAGAAGCACCGGCUAACUUCGUGCCAGCCGCCGCGGUAAUUC